RNAcentral lists this ribosomal RNA (515 nucleotides) under uncultured bacterium. RNAcentral describes it as "partial 16S ribosomal RNA". It matches the Rfam family "Bacterial small subunit ribosomal RNA", at positions 28 to 523 of the family's 1533-position model. The record is from RNAcentral.
GAUGAACGCUGGCGGCGUGCCUAAUACAUGCAAGUCGAGCGAAUGGAUUAAGAGCUUGCUCUUAUGAAGUUAGCGGCGGACGGGUGAGUAACACGUGGGUAACCUGCCCAUAAGACUGGGAUAACUCCGGGAAACCGGGGCUAAUACCGGAUAACAUUUUGAACCGCAUGGUUCGAAAUUGAAAGGCGGCUUCGGCUGUCACUUAUGGAUGGACCCGCGUCGCAUUAGCUAGUUGGUGAGGUAACGGCUCACCAAGGCAACGAUGCGUAGCCGACCUGGGAGGGUGAUCGGCCACACUGGGACUGAGACCCGGCGCAGACUCCUACGGGAGGCAGCAGUAGGGAAUCUUCCGCAAUGUACGAAAGUCUGACGGAGCAACGCCGCGUGAGUGAUGAAGGCUUUCGGGUCGUAAAACUCUGUUGUUAGGGAAGAACAAGUGCUAGUUGAAUAAGCUGGCACCUUGACGGUACCUAACCAGAAAGCCACGGCUAACUACGUGCCAGCCGCCGCUGUAA